GAUGAACGCUGGCGGCGUGCCUAAUACAUGCAAGUCGAGCGAACGGACGAGAAGCUUGCUUCUCUGAUGUUAGCGGCGGACGGGUGAGUAACACGUGGAUAACCUACCUAUAAGACUGGGAUAACUUCGGGAAACCGUGGCUAAUACCGGAUAAUAUUUUGAACCGCAUGGUUCAAAAGUGAAAGACGGUCUUGCUGUCACUUAUAGAUGGAUCCGCGCUGCAUUAUCUAGUUGGUAAGGUAACGGCUUACCAAGGCAACGAUGCAUAGCCGACCUGAGAGGGUGAUCGGCCACACUGGAACUGAGACACGGUCCAGACUCCUACGGGAGGCAGCAGUAGGGAAUCUUCCGCAAUGGGCGAAAGCCUGACGGAGCAACGCCGCGUGAGUGAUGAAGGUCUUCGGAUCGUAAAACUCUGUUAUUAGGGAAGAACAUAUGUGUAAGUAACUGUGCACAUCUUGACGGUACCUAAUCAGAAAGCCACGGCUAACUACGUG
RNAcentral lists this ribosomal RNA (497 nucleotides) under uncultured bacterium. Its description in RNAcentral is "partial 16S ribosomal RNA". It matches the Rfam family "Bacterial small subunit ribosomal RNA", at positions 28 to 507 of the family's 1533-position model. The record is from RNAcentral.